This 492-nucleotide ribosomal RNA is filed under the name uncultured bacterium. RNAcentral describes it as "partial 16S ribosomal RNA". It matches the Rfam family "Bacterial small subunit ribosomal RNA", at positions 29 to 507 of the family's 1533-position model. The record is from RNAcentral.
AGUGAACGCUGGCGGUAGGCCUAACACAUGCAAGUCGAACGGCAGCACAGUAAGAGCUUGCUCUUACGGGUGGCGAGUGGCGGACGGGUGAGGAAUACAUCGGAAUCUACUUUUUCGUGGGGGAUAACGUAGGGAAACUUACGCUAAUACCGCAUACGACCUACGGGUGAAAGCAGGGGAUCUUCGGACCUUGCGCGAUUGAAUGAGCCGAUGUCGGAUUAGCUAGUUGGCGGGGUAAAGGCCCACCAAGGCGACGAUCCGUAGCUGGUCUGAGAGGAUGAUCAGCCACACUGGAACUGAGACACGGUCCAGACUCCUGCGGGAGGCAGCAGUGGGGAAUAUUGGGCAAUGGGCGCAAGCCUGAUCCAGCCAUACCGCGUGGGUGAAGAAGGCCUUCGGGUUGUAAAGCCCUUUUGUUGGGAAAGAAAAGCAGCAGGUUAAUACCCCGCUGUUCUGACGGUACCCAAAGAAUAAGCACCGGCUAACUUCGUG